Molecule: ribosomal RNA, 301 nt
Filed under: uncultured bacterium
Lineage: Bacteria
Description: bacterial SSU rRNA
Rfam family: Bacterial small subunit ribosomal RNA
Source: RNAcentral
GCGUGUGGGAUGAAGGCUCUUGGGUCGUAAACCACUGUCAGUUGGGAAGAAAUCUUUUUCGGUUAAUACCCGAGAGAGUUGACGGUACCUUCAAAGGAAGCACCGGCUAACUCCGUGCCAGCAGCCGCGGUAAUACGGAGGGUGCAAGCGUUGUUCGGAAUCAUUGGGCGUAAAGCGCGUGUAGGCGGUUAGGUAAGUUGAAUGUGAAAGCCCGAGGCUCAACCUCGGAAUUGCAUCCAAUACUGCUUAACUAGAAUCCUGGAGAGGGUGGCGGAAUUCCGAGUGUAGAGGUGAAAUUCGU